AGUCAAGCAGACAGUAGCAAGGUAAGAUGUUAUGACCAUGAAAAGUUAAGCACUUAAGCCUAAGGAGUAAUGGAAAAUAAGUGAUCUAAGGCAACAGACACCACUUAGUGGACUGUUAUGUACAAAUUGUUAGUUUAGUGUAAUGGGGAGGAAAUCCAGUCCACAAAUUUCUAGUGAAUCUGUAUGAGUACAAUGAACUAGAAAAAAUCCAUGUUAUUCUAGGUAUAUAAAAGUGAUAAUAAUGUAAUACUUGAUGACCGAGGAAAGUAGUAAGAAAAAAAUAAUUUGUGUAUGUGGCCUUGAGCUGCCUCCUUUACAGUAAAAACCAACAAUAAUGAAUAAAUAAAAAUAAUCGUAUAUACAAACACUAAGAUCUUGCCAGUAAUGUCGCAUUAGUGCAUGAAAAAUUCCCCUGAUAGUGAAAAUGAUAUUUACUUAACAUUGAAAUACAUGUAUACCUAAGUGGUUGAUUGGUGCCUCCGUCCCAGGAUUUUCAUAAUUUUUUUUUAAUUUGAAUCCCUCCUAUUAAUAAGGUGUUUCUCUUUUCCUGAAAUAUGUUACUUUACACACAACCACACCCCCAACACACUGCUACACACCAACAGUCUUCCACAUCCCACCACACUCAGCUAGCAGCAGGGUACGGGUGUCCAUAUAUGUGCUUAAUAGCAAAACAGUGGUGUGGUGGUGUGCAUAGCAGUGGGAGUAUUGUGUAAGUGUGUGUUGGAGCAAGGUGGGGGUGUGGAGGUGUGUGUGGGAGCAAGGUGGGGGUGUGGAGGUGUGUGUGGGAGCAAGGUGGGGGUGUGGAGGUGUGUGUGGGAGCAAGGUGGGGGUGUGGAGGUGUGUGUGGGAGCAAGGUGGGGGUGUGGAGGUGUGUGUGGGAGCAAGGUGGGGGUGUGGAGGUGUGUGUGGGAGCAAGGUGGGGGUGUGGAGGUGUGUGUGGGAGCAAGGUGGGGGUGUGGAGGUGUGUGUGGGAGCAAGGUGGGGGUGUGGAGGUGUGUGUGGGAGCAAGGUGGGGGUGUGGAGGUGUGUGUGGGAGCAAGGUGGGGGUGUGGAGGUGUGUGUGGGAGCAAGGUGGGGGUGUGGAGGUGUGUGUGGGAGCAAGGUGGGGGUGUGGAGGUGUGUGUGGGAGCAAGGUGGGGGUGUGGAGGUGUGUGUGGGAGCAAGGUGGGGGUGUGGAGG
Molecule: long non-coding RNA, 1182 nt
Organism: Eriocheir sinensis (Chinese mitten crab)
Lineage: Eukaryota; Metazoa; Arthropoda; Malacostraca; Decapoda; Varunidae
Exons: 5
Source: RefSeq, a predicted model, not a curated record